GAGAAGAACGCAGCAAAAUGCGAUAAGUAAUGUGAAUUGCAGAAUUCAGUGAAUCAUCGAAUCUUUGAACGCACAUUGCGCCCGCCAGUAUUCUGGCGGGCAUGCCUGUUCGAGCGUCAUUUCAACCCUCAAGCCCUCGGGUUUGGUGUUGGGGAUCGGCGAGCCUUUCUGGCAAGCCGGCCCCGAAAUCUAGUGGCGGUCUCACUGCAGCCUCCAUUGCGUAGUAGUAAAACCCUCGCAACUGGAACGCGGCGCGGCCAAGCCGUUAAACCCCCAACUUCUGAAUGUUGACCUCGGAUCAGGUAGGAAUACCCGCUGAACUUAAGCAUAUCAAUAAGCGGAGGA
This 345-nucleotide unclassified non-coding RNA is filed under the name soil metagenome. Its description in RNAcentral is "partial contains 5.8S ribosomal RNA, internal transcribed spacer 2, and large subunit ribosomal RNA". The stretch from base 3 to 119 matches the Rfam family "5.8S ribosomal RNA", at positions 38 to 154 of the family's 154-position model. The record is from RNAcentral.